AACAAACGCUGGCGGCGUGCCUAACACAUGCAAGUCGAACGAGAAAGUCGGUUUCGGCCGAUGAGUAAAGUGGCGCACGGGUGAGUAACGCGUGGAUAAUCUACCCUUUAGUCCGGAAUAACUUGCCGAAAGGUGAACUAAUACCGGAUGACAUCCCGGGUUCUCCGGAAACCGGGAUCAAAGAAGGCCUCUGCUUGCAAGCUUUUGCUGAAGGAUGAGUCCGCGUACCAUUAGCUAGUUGGUGGGGUAAUGGCCUACCAAGGUUAUGAUGGUUAGCUGGUCUGAGAGGAUGAUCAGCCACACUGGAACUGAAACACGGUCCAGACUCCUACGGGAGGCAGCAGUGAGGAAUAUUGCGCAAUGGGGGGCAACCCUUGACGCAGCAAACGCCGCGUGAGUGAGGAAGGUUUUCGGAUUGUAAAGCUCUGUCGAGCGGAAAGAAAUGCACGAUGGCUAAUAUCCAUCAUGCUUGACGGUACCGCUAGAGGUAAGCACCGGCUUAACC
RNAcentral lists this ribosomal RNA (505 nucleotides) under uncultured bacterium. RNAcentral describes it as "bacterial SSU rRNA". It matches the Rfam family "Bacterial small subunit ribosomal RNA", at positions 29 to 503 of the family's 1533-position model. The record is from RNAcentral.